This 406-nucleotide ribosomal RNA is filed under the name uncultured bacterium. Its description in RNAcentral is "partial 16S ribosomal RNA". It matches the Rfam family "Bacterial small subunit ribosomal RNA", at positions 28 to 526 of the family's 1533-position model. The record is from RNAcentral.
GACGAACGCUGGCGGCGCGCUUAACACAUGCAAGUCGAGCGAAGCGGCGGACGGGUGAGUAACACGUGAGUAACCUGCCUUAGACAUUGGGAUAGCCUCGGGAAACCGGGAUUAAUACCAAAUGGUCUAAGAUGGACUCGCGUCCCAUUAGCUAGUUGGUGGGUAACGGCCCACCAAGGCGACGAUGGGUAGCCGGCCUGAUAGGGUGAACGGCUACAUUGGACCUGAGUAACGGUCCAAACUCUACGGAAGGGAGCAGUGGGGAAUAUUGCACAAUGGAGGGAACUCUGAGGCAGCGACGCCGCGUGAACGAAGAAGGCUGUCGAGUCGUAAAGUUCUUUUAUAUGGGAAGCGGUACCAUAAGAAAAAGCCCCGGCUAACUCCGUGCCAGCAGCCGCGGUAAUAC